UUCCGGUUGAUCCUGCCGGACCUGACUGCUAUCGGAUUGAUACUAAGCCAUGCGAGUCAUUGUAGCAAUACAAGGCAUACGGCUCAACAACGCGUAGUCAACCUAACCUAUGGACGGGAAUAACCUCGGGAAACUGAGAAUAAUGCCCGAUAGAACACUAUACCUGGAAUGGUUUGUGUUCCAAAUGAUUUAUCGCCGUAGGAUGGGACUGCGGCCUAUCAGUUUGUUGGUGAGGUAAUGGCCCACCAAGACUAUUACAGGUACGGGCUCUGAGAGGAGUAGCCCGGAGAUGGGUACUGAGACACGGACCCAGGCCCUAUGGGGCGCAGCAGGCGAGAAAACUUUGCAAUGUGCGAAAGCACGACAAGGUUAAUCCGAGUGGUUUCUGCUAAAGGAACCUUUUGUUAGUCCUAGAAACACUAACGAAUAAGGGGUGGGCAAGUUCUGGUGUCAGCCGCCGCGGUAAAACCAGCACCUCAAGUGGUCAGGAUGAUUAUUGGGCCUAAAGCAUCCGUAGCCGGCUCUGUAAGUUUUCGGUUAAAUCUGUACGCUUAACGUACAGGCUGCCGGGAAUACUGCAUAGCUAGGGAGUGGGAGAGGUAGACGGUACUCGGUAGGAAGGGGUAAAAUCCUUUGAUCUAUUGAUGGCCACCUGUGGCGAAGGCGGCCUACCAGAACACGUC
RNAcentral lists this ribosomal RNA (683 nucleotides) under uncultured archaeon. Its description in RNAcentral is "bacterial SSU rRNA". It matches the Rfam family "Archaeal small subunit ribosomal RNA", at positions 1 to 691 of the family's 1478-position model. The record is from RNAcentral.